GACGAACGCUGGCGGCGUGCUUAGCACAUGCAAGUCGAACGGAAAGGCUCCAGCUUGCUGGCGUACUCGAGUGGCGAACGGGUGAGUAACACGUGGGUAAUCUGCCCUGCACUCUGGGAUAAGCCUGGGAAACUGGGUCUAAUACUGGAUAUGACCUUUCUCCUUAUGGGGUUUGGUGGAAAGUUUUUCGGUGUAGGAUGAGCCCGCGGCCUAUCAGCUUGUUGGUGGGGUGAUGGCCUACCAAGGCGACGACGGGUAGCCGGCCUGAGAGGGUGAUCGGCCACAUUGGGACUGAGAUACGGCCCAGACUCCUACGGGAGGCAGCAGUGGGGAAUAUUGCACAAUGGGCGGAAGCCUGAUGCAGCGACGCCGCGUGAGGGAUGACGGCCUUCGGGUUGUAAACCUCUUUCAGCAGGGACGAAGCGUAAGUGACGGUACCUGCAGAAGAAGCACCGGCUAACUAUGUG
RNAcentral lists this ribosomal RNA (467 nucleotides) under uncultured bacterium. RNAcentral describes it as "partial 16S ribosomal RNA". It matches the Rfam family "Bacterial small subunit ribosomal RNA", at positions 28 to 507 of the family's 1533-position model. The record is from RNAcentral.